GGCGGCGUGCCUAAUACAUGCAAGUCGAGCGAACAGACGAGGAGCUUGCUCCUCUGACGUUAGCGGCGGACGGGUGAGUAACACGUGGAUAACCUACCUAUAAGACUGGGAUAACUUCGGGAAACCGGAGCUAAUACCGGAUAAUAUAUUGAACCGCAUGGUUCAAUAGUGAAAGACGGUUUUGCUGUCACUUAUAGAUGGAUCCGCGCCGCAUUAGCUAGUUGGUAAGGUAACGGCUUACCAAGGCAACGAUGCGUAGCCGACCUGAGAGGGUGAUCGGCCACACUGGAACUGAGACACGGUCCAGACUCCUACGGGGGGCAGCAGUAAGGAAUCUUCCGCAAUGGGCGAAAGCUUGACGGAGCAACGCCGCGUGAGUGAUGAAUGUCUUCGGAUCGUAAAACUCUGUUAUUAGGGAAGAACACAUGUGUAAGUAACUAUGCACGUCUUGACGGUACCUAAUCAGAAAGCCACGGCUAACUACGUGCCAGCAGCCGCGGUAAUACGUAGGUGGCAAGCGUUAUCCGGAAUUAUUGGGCGUAAAGCGCGCGUAGGCGGUUUUUUAAGUCUGAUGUGAAAGCCCACGGCUCAACCGUGGAGGGUCAUUGGAAACUGGAAAACUUGAGUGCAGAAGAGGAAAGUGGAAUUCCAUGUGUAGCGGUGAAAUGCGCAGAGAUAUGGAGGAACACCAGUGGCGAAGGCGACUUUCUGGUCUGUAACUGA
This 723-nucleotide ribosomal RNA is filed under the name uncultured Staphylococcus sp. Its description in RNAcentral is "bacterial SSU rRNA". It matches the Rfam family "Bacterial small subunit ribosomal RNA", at positions 38 to 743 of the family's 1533-position model. Lineage: Bacteria; Bacillati; Bacillota; Bacilli; Caryophanales; Staphylococcaceae. The record is from RNAcentral.